RNAcentral lists this ribosomal RNA (497 nucleotides) under uncultured bacterium. Its description in RNAcentral is "partial 16S ribosomal RNA". It matches the Rfam family "Bacterial small subunit ribosomal RNA", at positions 28 to 507 of the family's 1533-position model. The record is from RNAcentral.
GACGAACGCUGGCGGCGUGCCUAAUACAUGCAAGUCGAACGAAAAGACGAGGAGCUUGCGCGUCUGACGUUAGGGGAGGAGGGGAGAGAAACACGUGGAUAACCUACCUAUCAGAGUGGGAUAACUACGGGAAACCGGCGCUUAUACCGGAGAAGAUAUUGAACCGCGUGGGGCGAUGGUAAGAGUCGGUUGUGCGGUCAGUAAUAGCUGGAUACGAGCCGGAUUGGCUGGUUGGGAAGGUAAAGGGUUACCAAGGCAAGGAGGCGUAUCCGACCUGAGAGGGUGAUCGCCGACCCUGGAACUGAGACACGGUCCAGACUCCUGCGGUAGGCAGCAGUAGGGAAUCUUCCGCAAUGGGCGAGAGCUUGACGGAGCAACGCCGCGUGAGUUAUGAAGGUCUUCCGAUCGUAAAACUCUGUUAUUAGUUAAGAACAAAUGUGUAAGUACCUAUGCACGUCUUGACGGUACCGGAUCAGAAAGCCCCGGCUAACUACGUG